Molecule: ribosomal RNA, 247 nt
Filed under: Ornithinibacillus salinisoli
Lineage: Bacteria; Bacillati; Bacillota; Bacilli; Caryophanales; Bacillaceae
Description: partial 16S ribosomal RNA
Rfam family: Bacterial small subunit ribosomal RNA
Source: RNAcentral
GCGACUCUCUGGUCUGUACUGACGCUGAGGUGCGAAAGCGUGGGUAGCAACAGGAUUAGAUACCCUGGUAGUCCACGCCGUAAACGAUGAGUGCUAGGUGUUAGGGGGUUUGAGCCCUUUAGGGCCGAAUUAAACCCAUUAAUCACCCCCCCGGGGGAGUCGGCCCCCAGGUUAAAACCUCAAAGAAUUUGCGGGGGCCCCCCCCAACGGGGGGACCGGGGGUUUAAUUUCAAACAACCGCAAAAAC